Molecule: ribosomal RNA, 193 nt
Filed under: Stumpffia pardus
Lineage: Eukaryota; Metazoa; Chordata; Amphibia; Anura; Microhylidae
Description: partial 12S ribosomal RNA
Source: RNAcentral
UCAAACCGCCAGGGAAUUACGNCCCUCACUUAAAACCCAAAGGACUUGACGGUGUCCCACCCACCUAAAGGAGCCUGUUCUAUAAUCGACACCCCACGAUAUACCUCACCACCCCUAGCAUAUUCAGUCUGUAUACCUCCGUCGCAAGCUUACCAUGUGAACGACACAGUGAGCUAGAAGGUCACCCCCCCCC